Molecule: non-coding RNA, 955 nt
Filed under: Spilogale gracilis leucoparia
Lineage: Eukaryota; Metazoa; Chordata; Mammalia; Carnivora; Mephitidae
Description: 12S ribosomal RNA
Rfam family: Bacterial small subunit ribosomal RNA
Source: RNAcentral
UAAAGGUUUGGUCCUGGCCUUCCUAUUAGCCCUUAACAAACUUACACAUGCAAGCCUCUUCAUACCAGUGAAAAUGCCCUGUAGACCAUAAACUGAUCAAAAGGAGCGGGUAUCAAGCACGCUAAUGAGCAGCUCAUAACACCUUGCUCAACCACACCCCCACGGGAUACAGCAGUGAUAAAAAUUAAGCAAUGAACGAAAGUUCGACUAAGUUAUGUUAACAAAGGAUUGGUAAAUUUCGUGCCAGCCACCGCGGUCAUACGAUUAAUCCCAGUUAAUAGGCAAACGGCGUAAAACGUGUUAAAGAUAUUAAUUCAACUAAAGUUAAAAUUUAAUUAAGCCGUAAAAAGCUAUUGUUAAUAUAAAAUAAACUACGAAAGUGACUUUAAUAAUUCUGACCACACGACAGCUAAGAUCCAAACUGGGAUUAGAUACCCCACUAUGCUUAGCCGUAAACACAAACAAUUAGUAUAACAAAACUGUUCGCCAGAGAACUACUAGCAACAGCCUGAAACUCAAAGGACUUGGCGGUGCUUUAUAUCCCUCUAGAGGAGCCUGUUCUAUAAUCGAUAAACCCCGAUAAACCUCACCGUUCCUAGCUAAUCCAGUCUAUAUACCGCCAUCUUCAGCAAACCCUUAAAAGGAAUACAAGUAAGCACAAUCAUGAGACAUAAAAAAGUUAGGUCAAGGUGUAACCCAUGGAACGGGAAGAAAUGGGCUACAUUUUCUUAACAAGAAUACCUACGAAAGACUUUAUGAAACUAAAGACCGAAGGAGGAUUUAGCAGUAAAUUAAGAAUAGAGAGCUUAAUUGAAAGGGGCCAUGAAGCACGCACACACCGCCCGUCACCCUCCUCAAGUAAUAUCACCAAAAAUAUAAUAUAUUAAUAACUACUUCACACAAGAGGAGACAAGUCGUAACAAGGUAAGCGUACUGGAAAGUGCGCUUGGAUUAA